AACCAGCACCUCAAGUGGUCAGGAGGAUUAUUGGGCCUAAAGCAUCCGUAGCCUGUUUUGUAAGUCUUCGGUUAAAUCCACAUGCUUAACAUGUGGGCUGCCGGAGAUACUGCAGAACUAGGGAGUGGGAGAGGUAGACGGUACUUGAUAGGAAGGGGUAAAAUCCUUUGAUCUAUUGAUGACCACCUGUGGCGAAGGCGGUCUACCAGAACACGUUCGACGGUGAGGGAUGAAAGCUGGGGGAGCAAACCGG
RNAcentral lists this ribosomal RNA (253 nucleotides) under uncultured archaeon. RNAcentral's name for it is "partial 16S ribosomal RNA". It matches the Rfam family "Archaeal small subunit ribosomal RNA", at positions 474 to 727 of the family's 1478-position model. The record is from RNAcentral.